This 468-nucleotide ribosomal RNA is filed under the name uncultured bacterium. RNAcentral describes it as "partial 16S ribosomal RNA". It matches the Rfam family "Bacterial small subunit ribosomal RNA", at positions 28 to 507 of the family's 1533-position model. The record is from RNAcentral.
GACGAACGCUGGCGGCGUGCUUAACACAUGCAAGUCGAACGGAAAGGCCCUGCUUUUGUGGGGUGCUCGAGUGGCGAACGGGUAAGUCACACGUGAGUAACCUGCCCUUGACUUUGGGAUAACUUCAGGAAACUGGAGCUAAUACCGGAUAGGCGCUCCUGCUGCAUGGUGGGGGUUGGAGAGUUUCGGCGGUUGGGGAUGGACUCGCGGCUUAUCAGCUUGUUGGUGGGGUAGUGGCUUACCAAGGCGUUGACGGGUAGCCGGCCUGAGAGGGUGACCGGCCACAUUGGGACUGAGAUACGGCCCAGACUCCUACGGGAGGCAGCAGUGGGGAAUAUUGCACAAUGGGCGGAAGCCUGAUGCAGCAACGCCGCGUGCGGGAUGACGGCCUUCGGGUUGUAAACCGCUUUCGCCUGUGACGAAGCGUGAGUGACGGUAAUGGGUAAAGAAGCACCGGCUAACUACGUG